Molecule: long non-coding RNA, 126 nt
Organism: Sinocyclocheilus anshuiensis
Lineage: Eukaryota; Metazoa; Chordata; Actinopteri; Cypriniformes; Cyprinidae
Exons: 3
Source: RefSeq, a predicted model, not a curated record
GCGCGCAAGAAUGAUUAUCACAAUGACGACAUCAUCGCGCGACUUUCCAUGACAGUGGAGCGGCUAAAAGACAUGCCAUUCAUUAAGGCACAUAACACAGCACUAUAUGCUUUUGAGUGCAAUAAC